Molecule: transfer RNA, 67 nt
Filed under: Carabhydrus plicatus
Lineage: Eukaryota; Metazoa; Arthropoda; Insecta; Coleoptera; Dytiscidae
Description: tRNA-Leu
Source: RNAcentral
UUAUUAUUUUGGCAGAUUAGUGCAAUGAAUUUAGAAUUCAUAAAUGUAAUAUAAGUUACAUAUAAUA